UUUUCAACCAUGGCGAACAACCGACUUUUUCACUCCGUCUGAGGGUCUUCUUGGUCAACGUGGUGCAAAAAGGCUGCGUUAGCAACAGAUUGAGAUUCCUGUAUUUGGCAACCUUCUUCCGAGAAACAUUAUUAUCAUUUUGGUCCAAAUCACACUGCUGGUUGGUGUCAGUGUCGUCUGUAGGUGAGCUGAUGACAGCAAUCCCCCUCCCGACCUCUCCUGACUAUAGAGAAGAGGGGACAGCCUGCGUGGUCUCCGUGCUGGUGAAGAAGCUUGCCAGCACCCCAGGCCCUCUGUGCACACUUUCUUUUGUUUUUAAUGUUUAUUUAUUUUUGAGAGAGACAGAACAUGAGCGGAGGAGGGGCAGAGAGAGAGAGGGAGACACAGAAUCGGAAGCAGGCUCCAGGCCCCGAGCUGGCAGCACAGAGCCCGACGUGGGACUCAAACUCACAGACCGCGAGAUAGUGACCUGAGCCGAAGUCGGAUGCCUCACCGACCAAGCCCCCCAGGUACCCCUCUGCGAGCACUUCCGAAGCGUUGCUGAACCGCUUUCCCAGGUGAACAGGAUAAUUGGCCCACUUUCCCCUUGGCACCUGGGUGAACUUGGUUAUACACCCUACAGAAACGCUUCCCUGACUGUCCUGUCCUCACCGGGGGACUUCCUAGCAGACCAUGUGGCACUCAUAGGUGCACGCAGCAGGAGCAGGUCGGCAUAAGAGCCUGUCACGGUCCCUCUGAUGCCACAUUCUACACCUGGAGAUCACAUGGUGUCACUGAGGUCAUCCCAGGGCAGGAACGGCGGAGAGAACAUUUCUAAGUCCCGGGUCACCGCUGGCUCCACUCUACACACUGAGCCAAAAAGCUAUGGUCACAAUGUGUCUAGAUUCGGGUAGAGAUGACAGUGGGCUCCUGGGGCGGGGAAGGGGACGGGGAGCUGAGCCCCAGAGCCAAAAAUAGGCCUGCUUUUCUGAUGCAACUGGAAACUCUUCGGUCACUCAGAUUAUGUUCCUAGUAUGUAUCUUCUCAUUACCUGCCUCCACUGCUGACUUGUUUUGGUGAGGACAAAUUCAGAAGGCCAAAACUCCGCAGGAAACAUCGCGAGCCAGAGAAGGAUACACCGUGUGCCGUGUUAAUGGCGUUUAGCGCCAUCUUCCCUGGUAUCAUCACGGAGCACAGACGGCUAUUAUCAUCGUGUUUCCAUUUUCCUACAAGACAUAGUUUUGGUAAGAGAAAACAGGCCAACAGUGUAUUUAGUAAGCAAUAAAAAUACAUUCUUAAGGAC
Felis catus (domestic cat) is the source of this 1282-nucleotide long non-coding RNA. RefSeq lists it as uncharacterized. Lineage: Eukaryota; Metazoa; Chordata; Mammalia; Carnivora; Felidae. The record is from RefSeq and is a predicted model, not a curated record. The transcript has 3 exons.